This 327-nucleotide ribosomal RNA is filed under the name uncultured eukaryote. RNAcentral's name for it is "partial 18S ribosomal RNA". It matches the Rfam family "Eukaryotic small subunit ribosomal RNA", at positions 1470 to 1796 of the family's 1831-position model. The record is from RNAcentral.
CCCUUAGAUGUUCUGGGCCGCACGCGCGCUACACUGAUUCAUGCAACAAGUUUUGUCCUUGGCUGAUAGGCCUGGGUAAUCUUUGAACGUGAAUCGUGAUGGGGAUAGAUGAUUGCAAUUAUUCAUCUUCAACGAGGAAUUCCUAGUAAACGCAAGUCAUCAGCUUGCAUUGAUUACGUCCCUGCCCUUUGUACACACCGCCCGUCGCACCUACCGAUUGAAUGGUCCGGUGAAAUCUUCGGAUCUGAGAGAUGUCUGAUUAAUUUCGGACGCCUUUUGGAAAAGUUGCUUAAACCUUACCAUUUAGAGGAAGGUGANGUCGUNACA